GGAGAGUAUAAUAUCCACCCUCUGGCAGUAAUCCUAGGGUGCGGGACUCUGUCUCCACCCCACCAGUGAUGUCAGACCCAGCCUCCUGACCUUAAGAGUAGCAGCAGUAAUCUUCCCCACCAUGCAGGGUCUGCUGUCGAGACCAAAACGAUACAAGAGAGGAGAGGAGCAAGCGAGGAACAAAUAGUAACUUUGGAUGGAGAAGUAGGAGUGAGGGGAGACAGCGCCUGGAAAAGAUCUGCUUCUUUUGGAUGGCUUUUGGAACAUCUCAGAGGAGAACUUCUUCAGUGCAUUUCCCCAGCAGAUACAGGGUUAUUGAAAUGGGACAUUAAAGUGAACUGGAGAUGCAGCCGUAUAUUAUCAGUUAAUUUCUUAUUGACCUCACGCCAGAGGAUCACAAUGGUAAGUGAAUUCCCAGCUCAAUCUGUUGGGAAAAAAAAGCAAAAAACCUUUCUGCUUUGAAAAAAAAUUGCAACAGGAAAAAGCAAGUUGGAUCAGAUGAACUAUAAAAUGAAAAAUGAAGGGAAUAGGAGCAGCAGGGAAUUAGUAGGACACUAGAUAGGAGUCUAGGAAGUGGCCAUGAAGACUGAUUGACAAGGAAGAAGGAUCAGUGGGAUGGAGGAAUUACUGGAAGAAGGCAAGGUGUGGGGGGAAAGGAAGCAAGGAAUACACCUCUGGAAAGGAUAUAUGUAGAUGUGUCUAGAUGAAGGUCAACUUCAAUCAGUGUAGUCAGUCACCCAGUUUCAUACAACACAGAAAGAUGGAAUCAGUUUACAUUCCGGACAGGGUGCUGAUGUUUAAAAACAAACAAAUCAAGUGCAAGAGUACUAAACUAUUCACAUAGACAACCCAAAAGAAGACCUAAUAAUCAGUUAGACAUUCAAAUGAAACCAUAGUAGUGCGUUCAUGCUGACAUUGGUGGUUAAAUCUCCUUAUCAUGUCUCUCCUGUGUGCCAAAAAGAAACGUAACGAAGUGCUCAGAAUUCAAAUCUAUUUAAAUUAUUUUAAGGCAGGGAAAGUUCCUGUGUGGGCUGGGUUAUGACUAGGGAGUGGAAUCCAUAGAACAGAGUUUAGUAAAACCAGAUGUGGCCCUCUGAUGAGUGAAAGGGAGUAAACUGAGAGUAAAAUGCUCACAUGCAAGCAAUGAAUUAAUCUUCCUUUAGGCCCCUAUUAAUAAAUGUGUUUUGGUUUUCUUUUCCUCCCCAACUGGCACUUGGUCACCCUGAAAGAAUUCAUUGUUACCAUACUUGUUUGUAACAUUUUACUCCUGGAGUAAUUUAACUGUUCCAGGCUCACAGUGACCCGGGGGAUUGAGUUAGUAGUGCUUGAAUCAGAAUUAACUGUGAGUUUGAGAAGUUGAACAAAUUGGUUAAACCCAACAGCCACAAUAAAAAUGACCACUGAUUCUGGCUGGAAAAGGCUUGAAAAGUCAAUUAAAUUAUGCAUGUAGAGAAUUUCCAGUUUUAUAAAACUACUGGUUUAUGGACCCAUAAUUUACUACCGAACAUCAA
This 1511-nucleotide long non-coding RNA is filed under the name Ornithorhynchus anatinus (platypus). RNAcentral describes it as "lncRNA (ENSOANG00000043545.1)". Lineage: Eukaryota; Metazoa; Chordata; Mammalia; Monotremata; Ornithorhynchidae. The record is from RNAcentral.